GUUACAGCCGCCGCGGUAAUACGUAGGGGGCGAGCGUUGUCCGGAUUUAUUGGGCGUAAAGAGCUCGUAGGUGGUUUGGUAAGUCGGAUGUGAAAUCUCCAGGCUCAACCUGGAGGGGUCAUUCGAUACUGCCAUGACUAGAGUUCGGUAGGGGAGUGUGGAAUUCCUGGUGGAGCGGUGAAAUGCGCAGAUAUCAGGAGGAACACCCGUAGCGAAGGCGGCACUCUGGGCCGAUACUGACACUGAGGAGCGAAAGCGUGGGGAGCGAACAGGAUUAGAAACCCUCGUAGUCC
RNAcentral lists this ribosomal RNA (293 nucleotides) under uncultured bacterium. Its description in RNAcentral is "partial 16S ribosomal RNA". It matches the Rfam family "Bacterial small subunit ribosomal RNA", at positions 505 to 796 of the family's 1533-position model. The record is from RNAcentral.